CUAGCUAGCAAAGCCAAAAAGGAAUUCUUUUGAAAAGCCUAGGCUGGUGCCUUGCUUAAGCUCAGGAGUUCUAAACUGCAGUUGGGCAGAAGCCAAAUAGAAGUCCACUUUAACUGUGGGGUAAAUAUGGUAAGAGUCCAAGAGUAAGAGGAGGGAGCACCAGGCUAUCUAAGAAAAAGAAGUGGGGGCUGGGUCAGAAAUGGAGCAGGUCGAAGUUCUCAUGUAGAUGAGUGGGAUGGCUGGGGGGGAAGCUGCUGAAUUUUCAUUCUGAGUGAGAAAGAGAUACAGACUUAAAAAAGAAAAGAAAAAGAGAUGAAGAGCUACAGGUUCUCCCUUCUGUCAAUCAAGAAGAAUAAAGUGCAUAAGGCAAGAAUCAUAUUGAGGAAAGG
Molecule: long non-coding RNA, 389 nt
Filed under: Monodelphis domestica (gray short-tailed opossum)
Lineage: Eukaryota; Metazoa; Chordata; Mammalia; Didelphimorphia; Didelphidae
Description: lncRNA (ENSMODG00000040156.1)
Source: RNAcentral